RNAcentral lists this ribosomal RNA (536 nucleotides) under uncultured bacterium. Its description in RNAcentral is "bacterial SSU rRNA". It matches the Rfam family "Bacterial small subunit ribosomal RNA", at positions 355 to 905 of the family's 1533-position model. The record is from RNAcentral.
UGGGGAAUCUUGCACAAUGGGCGAAAGCCUGAUGCAGCAACGCCGCGUGCGGGAAGACAGCCCUAGGGUUGUAAACCGCUUUCAGCAGGGAAGAAACUGACGGUACCUGCAGAAGAAGAUGCGGCCAACUACGUGCCAGCAGCCGCGGUGACACGUAGGCAUCAAGCGUUAUCCGGAUUUAUUGGGCGUAAAGAGCUCGUAGGCGGCUUGGUAAGUCGACCGUGAAAACCAGAGGCUCAACCUCUGGAUGUCGGUCGAUACUGCCAUGGCUAGAGUCCGGUAGAGGAGAGUGGAAUUCCCGGUGUAGCGGUGGAAUGCGCAGAUAUCGGGAGGAACACCAGUAGCGAAGGCGGCUCUCUGGGCCGGAACUGACGCUGAGGAGCGAAAGCGUGGGUAGCAAAACAGGAUUAGAUACCCUGGUAGUCCACGCCGUAAACGUUGGGUACUAGGUGUGGCGUCUUUUUCAACGGAUGCCGUGCCGAAGCUAACGCAUUAAGUACCCGCCUGGGAGUACGGCCGCAAGGCUAAAACUCAAA